Molecule: long non-coding RNA, 1974 nt
Organism: Numida meleagris (helmeted guineafowl)
Lineage: Eukaryota; Metazoa; Chordata; Aves; Galliformes; Numididae
Source: Ensembl
UCUGUCAUGCAAGUCUUUGUGUUUUGUUUCAUUGUAAUUAUCUACUUUCCUCUUUUUCUUUCAUGCUUAAGUUCUGAUCAAUUCUGAGUAGUUGCUUUUGAUUUGUAAUACUUUUUUUUCUUUAUUUUUCCUUUUCUUUUCCAGAAAGAAAUAAUCCCAGAACCCAGAAUUUCUUUUUAUGUUUUCUACAUCACAGAAUCAAAAAGACCUUUGCUUUGAGCAGGUCUUGAGCAACGCUUGUCAACAAAUGGCCUGUACCACUAGGGUUUCCCGGCAGAAGUCACCUUUAUUGAAUGAGUCCUUUGUAAGCAGAGAAAGUGACACUGGCUAUGUGAUUUCCUCUUUUUUCACUCCUGCAUAUACCCACUCACAGAUGGAUAAUUCAUAAGAGUGUCAAUCCAAGUGGAGAGCAGAACUGGAGCAGUUUGGACACCGUGCAGAUAUAUAUAACACAGACUGGGAGGCUUUUGUAAACCUCAGGAAGAUUCAGUUUUAGAUUACAAUUUUCAAGCUGAUUUUUUGAAACAUACUUCUAACGAUAAGAGAUCAGAAAUGCUACAAGAACAUCAACACUGAAGUGCUGUCAUAUUUUGUUUUAUCAAGAGGUUGCCUUCGAAAAAGCCAUUACAGAUAAUAUCUAUUUAAUCUUGGGGAACCUGACAUAUUCUCUCUAGGGUUUGCCUGAUCUCAUUUAGUUAGUCAGGUCCUGGCUAGUUAUAAGACCACAGCAGUGCUUAAGUAAAAAAUCACGAAGGAGUAUGAACAAAUUUCAAGAACAAAUUUCAAUUUCAGAACAAAUUUCACAUGCAAGGAGAUCAUUGUUCAUGAAGUACAGCCUAUCUUCUUGAACACACAGUAGGAGGAGACGCAUCUGUUUGCCGGGGUCUCUUUGUGGCUGUUAAUUUAUUUUAGUCUGAUAUGCUAUUCCCCAUCAUUUCAUGCUAAGGGAGUCUUUUCAAUGUCUAAGGACACUUCAAGAACAUUUUGUUUCUGUAUAUCUCUUUUUCUGCCUGAACAUGUUGCCCUGUACCUCUUUCUUUUCACAGCAUUUUGAGCAAGUAAGGAUUGCAGAUUCCUUUGAGGCAGUUCCUCUCCCUGUCUAGAUGACCAGAUGAUGACUAAUUCUUGAGUUAUUUGCGUCAGUAUUUAUUUGAAGUUCAAUGCAUUGUUAUAUUUAUGCAAUAGCAGUAGGCAUCAGCUGGUGACAAAGUAUCAGAGUGCAUUAAAAAUGGAAAAAAAUAAUGGCAGGAAUUUCCAUGUCUAGAUUCACUGACAAUUCAAAAAAUUAAUAUAAUAUGUUUCAAUAUGAUAUAUCAGGAUCGCUCCUGUGCAGAGCAUCUUCUGGAUAAAGAAAAUACAAGAGCUAAAACUGCACUUAUCUCUGAAUUGAGUUGAUUGUCUUUACAUAAUCUUUAAUGUUGGUUUCUUCUGCAAGAGUGGUUUAGCAUGAUCUCAGCAGACGUGUCAAUUUCUUGUGAGGUAAACUAUUUUUAACAAAUAUUUAUUCCAAAUGUAUUUUAAUUACUGCAAAUGCAGGAAAAGAACAAAUCAGGAAUGGUUUCUGCAUCUUACCUGAAAGUAAGCAAUACAUCCUUAUAGAUGGACUUGAACUGAAGCCAGUAAGGCAUGACCAAGACUGUCAGCUUGGUCUAAAGAAGUGACGUUAGCAUUCUGAGAGCAAACAUGUAAAAUAAGAGUGUACGUCACAUGUGCUUCUGAGCAGAAGAAUCUAGUUGCACUUUUUGAAGAGCUUCUCUACUUCUGUGUAAGAAGAUGAUCUGGAGUGGUGAGAAAUGAAACCAGGCAACAACAAGGACUGAUCGAACACCAGUCUGCCUAUGCUGGAGAACAGUAAUUGUAUCUUCAUUAUUGCAUCUAUGGUUCAUUCCUUAUCUCCCUCUUGGUCCUCAAUGUGGUCACACUAAAUUGAAAACUCCUAAGAUUUUGAAUAAAAAUAGCAGAUUAAAAUUUCCA